Molecule: long non-coding RNA, 895 nt
Filed under: Rattus norvegicus (Norway rat)
Lineage: Eukaryota; Metazoa; Chordata; Mammalia; Rodentia; Muridae
Description: long non-coding RNA NONRATT029635
Source: RNAcentral
UCCUUCACUCUGGGAUCCCUGGGUACCCCCAGACAAUGUUGACUCCCAGCCCCAGAGGCUGAGGAUGUCUAUGAAAGGCAAUUCUGGAUGUGCAGGCUGAGACCGAUGGAGUGUGGGAAGCCUCGCUGUGCUGUUCCCCCCACCUCUUUCAAGCAGCAAUAAGCUGCCUUGGGUUGAGGGAGGGGCUGCUAGAGGCUCAGGGUUGGUUCCUGAUCUGAGCCUAUGGUUGGCUUCUCCUGUCUUUUGCCUGAGCAGUGGUACCCUCAAAGGUCCUUGACUCUCAGCUUUUGCCCCAGGUGAUGGCUGAGUUGUGUCUGCCCUGGGGGACAGAGCAAUCCCUGUAUUGUAACUGUCCCUGGCUCCCUACCUCCAUCAAUCUGUCCUUGCAUGGCUUUAAUGCUCACAUGUGGAUGGUUUCCCAAACUUAGAGAAUUUCCUAGCCCAAUGCCUGGCCUUGUGGAAUGUGGGGUAGGGCAUCCCUUAGUUGAUCUGUUGGGGAGAGUCGGCAUCCCUGCCCAUAGACUACCUGAGUCCCACUGUCUAUUUUUGACUUUGCAGCAGAGGGUCCUCAGGAGCCCAAUCCCACCUUGUGGAAUGACCCUAUUGAAUUGUCCUCGGGUGAAGGUCCCCUGGAGAGCACUAGCCACAAACAAGAAUUUGCAGUCUCUGGCCCCCCAUUCCCCACCUCGGCUCCAGCACCAGAGGACAGCACCCCUCCAGCAAGAGUGGACCAGGAUGGAGGAUCACUUGGGCCAGGCGCCAUUGCAGCCAUCGUGAUCGCCGCCCUGCUGGCCACCUGCGUGGUGCUGGCACUCGUGGUCGUCGCGCUAAGGAAGUUUUCUGCUUCUUGAAGCCAAUAAAAGAGCCGCGCAGGCCCCGCCCGCGGUGACUCUGC